CCUACGGGUGGCAGCAGUGAGGAAUAUUGGUCAAUGGACGAGAGUCUGAACCAGCCAAGUAGCGUGAAGGAUGACUGCCCUAUGGGUUGUAAACUUCUUUUAUAUGGGAAUAAAACGUUCCACGUGUGGGAUUUUGUAUGUACCAUAUGAAUAAGGAUCGGCUAACUCCGUGCCAGCAGCCGCGGUAAUACGGAGGAUCCGAGCGUUAUCCGGAUUUAUUGGGUUUAAAGGGAGCGUAGGUGGAUUGUUAAGUCAGUUGUGAAAGUUUGCGGCUCAACCGUAAAAUUGCAGUUGAAACUGGCAGUCUUGAGUACAGUAGAGGUGAGCGGAAUUCGUGGUGUAGCGGUGAAAUGCUUAGAUAUCACGAAGAACACCGAUUGCGAAGGCAGUUCACUGGACUGCAACUGACACUGAGGCUCGAAAGUGUGGGUAUCAAACAGGAUUAGAUACCCUGGUAGUC
Molecule: ribosomal RNA, 460 nt
Filed under: uncultured bacterium
Lineage: Bacteria
Description: partial 16S ribosomal RNA
Rfam family: Bacterial small subunit ribosomal RNA
Source: RNAcentral